GAUGAAGAACGUAGCGAAAUGCGAUAAGUAGUGUGAAUUGCAGAAUUCAGUGAAUCAUCGAAUCUUUGAACGCACAUUGCGCCCUUUGGUAUUCCUUAGGGCAUGCCUGUUCGAGCGUCAUUGCUGCCCUCAAGCACGGCUUGUGUGUUGGGCCUCCGCCCCCCGGCUCCCGGGGGGCGGGCCGGAAAGGCAGCGGCGGCACCGCGUCCGGUCCUCGAGCGUAUGGGGCUUCGUCACCCGCUCCGUAGGCCCGGCCGGGGCCCGCCGGCGACCCCCCUCAAUCUUUCCAGGUUGACCUCGGAUCAGGUAGGGAUACCCGCUGAACUUAAGCAUAUCGAUAAGCGGAGGA
Molecule: unclassified non-coding RNA, 349 nt
Filed under: soil metagenome
Description: partial contains 5.8S ribosomal RNA, internal transcribed spacer 2, and large subunit ribosomal RNA
Rfam family: 5.8S ribosomal RNA (bases 1-120)
Source: RNAcentral